Long non-coding RNA from Schistocerca gregaria, 761 nucleotides. RefSeq lists it as uncharacterized. The transcript has 2 exons. The record is from RefSeq and is a predicted model, not a curated record. Lineage: Eukaryota; Metazoa; Arthropoda; Insecta; Orthoptera; Acrididae.
GGACUCAGAAGGACACAGCAGCUUCAGCUGCCUUCACUUCCCUAAGAUCCCAUGCCGCCAGCACGGGAUGGGGAGCCAAUGGGCAAUGACGCAGAGCCAUUGCCAUCCCCACAGUGCCAGCAGCCCUAACCGCAAGCGGUGCUGCCUUCCAGUAGGACACUGUGGACCCUACACUCACUGCUGCACCUCCACCAAUGGAAGAAAAUGUUCCAACCCUAGGUGUGGGUGUGCACCCUGUGGAUGGUUUUAUGGACGGUUUUUCUGGCCAUUUGCAAGAUGACUGUCAGGGUGCAGGAGAAAACUUGUCACUGGCUGCAGUUUCAGCUUCUGCCUCCUCAGGGGCACCUUAACCCAGACUCCCCUAGCACUGUCAACUCAGGCAGUAAAGGUACAUGACAAUGGCAAGGGGUUUUUGGGGGUGGGAAAUGUGAUGUCAUACACUAUUUCACUGUCAAAACCAUGCUAAGUAGGCCACACCUAGAAGUUACUAGUAACUAAUGUGAUACCCUCGCCAAUCUGCAGCUGGCCUCAAGGCACACCCUCUGCAACAUGCACUGCUAGCACCACCACAGAGCCAACUUAUGAAAAUUCAGCACUGACACCAGCCUAGUCAGUUCACCAAGUUCUCUCUGUGCAUUUGAAUCGUUAGUACUUAGCCUCUGUUUUUAUUGUAUACGAUGAAUUUCCCUGUUUCACAGAACUAAUGGAAUAUAAUUGGACUUACUGGACUAAAGUUAAGUAAACCAGAGUUACAUAUGUAU